CAGUAAUGUAAAAGACAACCCCACCUUCACAUCUUGCGAGAAGAGGACGAUUGUCMGAAUUAGUGAAGGAGUUCAGAGAUCUUUUUAGUCACAGUGAAAGAUAAAUCCAAAUGUCCAAAUGUUGAAAAACCUUUGAAGACUGACUUCUCCUUCUUUGGCUGGAUCUCAGCAUGAACUCAAACUGGAUUCCUGCUUGGUCUGCRUUUCCACCAUCCGGAGAGCGGCCUCCAACACCCUACCCAUCUUCCCACCCUCAAAACGUAACUGCGGCACCGUGCCUCCCGCUCUCUGGGAAUGGCACUGUCAGUUGUGGUCUCUGAGGGAGAGGCGCUACCUCUCUGUCAGCCUGCAAGAAAGCUGCAGUGUGGAGAAUCAAAGCCCAGAUCCAGGCAGAUAAUC
RNAcentral lists this long non-coding RNA (399 nucleotides) under Dromaius novaehollandiae (emu). Its description in RNAcentral is "lncRNA (ENSDNVG00000014370.1)". Lineage: Eukaryota; Metazoa; Chordata; Aves; Casuariiformes; Dromaiidae. The record is from RNAcentral.